This 545-nucleotide small RNA is filed under the name Pan troglodytes (chimpanzee). RNAcentral's name for it is "sense intronic". The record is from RNAcentral. Lineage: Eukaryota; Metazoa; Chordata; Mammalia; Primates; Hominidae.
CAAAAAUAUAUAUUUAAAAUAUCUCACAUUUCAUCAAGUUAACGUGUGCUUUCCAUUAUCUGAAAAUCUCAUUAACAGAUAAUUUUAUGACAUUGACACCCAAUUUUUGAAGUUGAAGGAAAAUAAGGGUUUUUUUUUUUUUUUUGUAAAAUCUCAUAAAUAAUGGAACAAACUUUCUUGCAGUAUAGGCUUUCCUAUUCACUUCGCCCAGAGUAUUUUAGAAGGACUGAGGAAAAAAAGAUAUUUUACCUUGUAUAUAUUGGAAAAAUAACUAGAUGGGAGGGUUCUGGAUUAGUUGUUUUUUUCAGAUAUUUGUAUUUCAGCUAAUUUAUCCUUUUAAAAAUGUGAUUACUAGUUUCUUACCAUAUGUUAAUUAAGUAGUCAAUGACUUGAAAUGAAAAAUACAAUUGAUAGUUACUUUAGUAAUAACUUACAACUUCUUAUUCACAUAUUGGUUAAUGGGAAAAAUGUGUGUUCAUGUGAUAAAGAUUAUUGCAAAUCAUUAUAUAAAUAAUGGUAAAAAGAAUACAGAGCUGGUGACACUU